This 497-nucleotide ribosomal RNA is filed under the name uncultured bacterium. Its description in RNAcentral is "partial 16S ribosomal RNA". It matches the Rfam family "Bacterial small subunit ribosomal RNA", at positions 28 to 507 of the family's 1533-position model. The record is from RNAcentral.
GAUGAACGCUGGCGGCGUGCCUAAUACAUGCCAGUCGAGCGAACAGACGAGGAGCUUGCUCCUCUGACGUUAGCGGCGGACGGGUGAGUAACACGUGGAUAACCUACCUAUAAGACUGGGAUAACUUCGGGAAACCGGAGCUAAUACCGGAGAAUAUAUUGAACCGCAUGGUUCAAUAGUGAAAGACGGUUUUGCUGUCACUUAUAGAUUGAUCCGCGCCGCAUUAGCUAGUUGGUAAGGUAACGGCUUACCAAGGCAACGAUGCAUAGCCGACCUGAGAGGGUGACCGGCCACACUGGAACUGAGACACGGUCCAGACUCCUACGGGAGGCAGCAGUAGGGAAUCUUCCGCAAUGGGCGAAAGCCUGACGGAGCAACGCCGCGUGAGUGAUGAAGGUCUUCGGAUCGUAAAACUCUGUUAUUAGGGAAGAACAAAUGUGUAAGUAACUAGGCACGUCUUGACGGUACCUAAUCAGAAAGCCACGGCUAACUACGUG